UACGGGGGGGGCAAGCGUUGUUCGGAAUUACUGGGCGUAAAGGGCUCGUAGGCGGCCAACUAAGUCGGAUGUGAAAUCCCCAAGCUUAACUUGGGAACUGCAUCCGAUACUGGAUGGCUUGAAUCCGGGAGAGGGAUGCAGAAUUCCAGGUGUAGCGGUGAAAUGCGUAGAUAUCUGGAGGAAUACCGGUGGCGAAGGCGGCAUCCUGGACCGGCAUUGAUGCUGAGGAGCGAAAGCUAGGGGAGCAAACGGG
RNAcentral lists this ribosomal RNA (253 nucleotides) under uncultured bacterium. Its description in RNAcentral is "partial 16S ribosomal RNA". It matches the Rfam family "Bacterial small subunit ribosomal RNA", at positions 524 to 776 of the family's 1533-position model. The record is from RNAcentral.